UCGUGAGGCUCCGGCCUCUUCGAGGGAGAAUCCUUGCCUUUUCGAGCACCUGUUUGUUUCCUCGGCAGGCCUGCCUGCCAAUGGGGACCCUUUAAACUCUUGCAAAUAACCUGAAAUGAAUCGUCUGAAUAAAUUUAAUAAAUCA
RNAcentral lists this unclassified non-coding RNA (145 nucleotides) under uncultured Westerdykella. RNAcentral's name for it is "sequence contains ITS1". The record is from RNAcentral. Lineage: Eukaryota; Fungi; Ascomycota; Dothideomycetes; Pleosporales; Sporormiaceae.